GAUGAACGCUGGCGGCGUGCUUAACACAUGCAAGUCGAACGAAGCACUUUAUUUGAUUUCCUUCGGGACUGAUUAUUUUGUGACUGAGUGGCGGACGGGUGAGUAACGCGUGGGUAACCUGCCUUGUACAGGGGGAUAACAGUUGGAAACGGCUGCUAAUACCGCAUAAGCGCACGGCAUCGCAUGAUGCUGUGUGAAAAACUCCGGUGGUAUAAGAUGGACCCGCGUUGGAUUAGCUAGUUGGUGAGGUAACGGCCCACCAAGGCGACGAUCCAUAGCCGACCUGAGAGGGUGACCGGCCACAUUGGGACUGAGACACGGCCCAAACUCCUACGGGAGGCAGCAGUGGGGAAUAUUGCACAAUGGGCGAAAGCCUGAUGCAGCGACGCCGCGUGAGCGAAGAAGUAUUUCGGUAUGUAAAGCUCUAUCAGCAGGGAAGAUAAUGACGGUACCUGACGAAGAAGCACCGGCUAAAUACGUG
RNAcentral lists this ribosomal RNA (481 nucleotides) under uncultured bacterium. Its description in RNAcentral is "partial 16S ribosomal RNA". It matches the Rfam family "Bacterial small subunit ribosomal RNA", at positions 28 to 507 of the family's 1533-position model. The record is from RNAcentral.